This 346-nucleotide long non-coding RNA is filed under the name Bos taurus (domestic cattle). RNAcentral's name for it is "long non-coding RNA NONBTAT019568". Lineage: Eukaryota; Metazoa; Chordata; Mammalia; Artiodactyla; Bovidae. The record is from RNAcentral.
UAAAUUUACAUUACCCCCCAGAAAAGAAGUGAGGCUAAACUUACGGUUUCUUCAUUUUUGAAAUACGUAUGGCUCUUUGUGACAAGUUAAGUCUCCUGGCUGCAUAAGCCGAUUACCAGUUUGUAUAUGUCUCCUCUUAAACACCAGUGGGAAAUAAUGGUUCAUGGCAGACUCUCAGAGCCAUUUUGAGACUCGGGGACAAUUAAUCCUAGGGACUUGGUUGACUGGGAGAAGUCAUUGCCUUAGCAUUUUGUUCUUAACACUUGGAGGCGAGUGACAGGAUUCCUGAGGCAGAUUAAUGAAGCCUGGCAGCAACUUCAUCCUUAACAUAAAAGUAUCUUUGGGG